RNAcentral lists this ribosomal RNA (494 nucleotides) under uncultured bacterium. RNAcentral describes it as "partial 16S ribosomal RNA". It matches the Rfam family "Bacterial small subunit ribosomal RNA", at positions 28 to 507 of the family's 1533-position model. The record is from RNAcentral.
GACGAACGCUGGCGGCGUGCCUAAUACAUGCAAGUAGAACGCUGAAGGAGGAGCUUGCUUCUCUGGAUGAGUUGCGAACGGGUGAGUAACGCGUAGGUAACCUGCCUGGUAGCGGGGGAUAACUAUUGGAAACGAUAGCUAAUACCGCAUAAUAGUAGAUGUUGCAUGACAUUUACUUAAAAGAUGCAAUUGCAUCACUACCAGAUGGACCUGCGUUGUAUUAGCUAGUUGGUGGGGUAACGGCUCACCAAGGGAACGAUACAUAGCCGACCUGAGAGGGGAUCGGCCCACCUGGGAACUGGGAAACGCCCCAACUCCCUACGGGGGGCGCAGGAGGGAAUCUUUCGCAAUGGACGAAAGUCUGAACGGGCAAAGCCGGGGGAGGGAAGGAGGGUUUCGGAUCGUAAAGCUCUGUUGUAAGAGAAGAAAGAGUGGGAGAGUUGAAAGUUCACACUGUGACGGUACCUUACCAGAAAGGGACGGCUAACUACGUG